GCCCCGAUAGCCGAAUGGAUAAGGCGACAGCCUUCUAAGCUGUAGAUUGAAGGUUCGAGUCCUUCUCGGGGUACCA
This 76-nucleotide transfer RNA is filed under the name Flavobacteriaceae bacterium. Its description in RNAcentral is "tRNA-Arg". It matches the Rfam family "tRNA". Rfam says of the family: Transfer RNA (tRNA) molecules are approximately 80 nucleotides in length. Their secondary structure includes four short double-helical elements and three loops (D, anti-codon, and T loops). The record is from RNAcentral. Lineage: Bacteria; Pseudomonadati; Bacteroidota; Flavobacteriia; Flavobacteriales; Flavobacteriaceae.